Molecule: ribosomal RNA, 250 nt
Filed under: uncultured bacterium
Lineage: Bacteria
Description: partial 16S ribosomal RNA
Rfam family: Bacterial small subunit ribosomal RNA
Source: RNAcentral
UACGUAUGGUGCAAGCGUUGUCCGGAAUUACUGGGCGUAAAGAGUUCGUAGGCGGUUAGAUCAGUCAGAAGUGAAAGGCUACGGCUCAACCGUAGUAAGCUUUUGAAACUGUCUAACUUGAGUAUUGGAGAGGAAAGUGGAAUUCCUAGUGUAGCGGUGAAAUGCGUAGAUAUUAGGAGGAACACCAGUGGCGAAGGCGACUUUCUGGACAAUUACUGACGCUGAGGAACGAAAGCGUGGGGAGCGAACA